This is a long non-coding RNA of Equus asinus (donkey), 7026 nucleotides long. NCBI's taxonomy places the organism in Eukaryota, Metazoa, Chordata, Mammalia, Perissodactyla, Equidae. The record is from Ensembl.
GCAUUCAGUAACGGUUUCUAUUGAGCGUCUGCGGUAUGGACGGUUUUAGCCUUAUUUACACCAACAUGGCCAGUUGCAAUUUAGGUAUAACUUUCACCACAUUAUCUCAUUUGAUCCUUGUGGGAAGGUAUGGAGAAGGAAUCAAGGAUCUUGCUACCAAGAAGCUGUAAGCUGCUUUCUAAUGCCAGAAAAAGGAAUCUGCAGGCUAGAGGCUCAAGGCUUUUCUUGUAGCAGGGCCAGCUGAGCCCACCUGGAGAUCAGACACACGAGCCCAGGACCCACCAGAAUGUCCAAGCAGUUGUUUGCACAGGGUCUGCACCAUCUUGUUUUAUAGCUGAAGGAGCAAGGAAGAGUUUAAUGAGAGGGGGAUGGACUCUAAGGGACAAAUUGAAGGGGGAGUACUGCUGUGCAGGGUGACAGAGGGGGGCCCCCAGGGCUUGAGGCCCCAAGGAGAGCAGGGCCAGAGCCAGAAGCUGAGGAGCUAUUUUGCACGAGAGAAUUUGGGAUCCUCAGGCACAAGCAGAGCAUCUUUGGGACUCAGAACAGAAGAGGCAGCACAGGGUGGGGUGAGGGUGUUUUCCUACUUCUGCAAGGAUUGCCGUGUGGCCGCAAGAUGAGGAGGAAUGGCAGAGAACACAGAGCUCGGUGGCGCUUUGCCAGUGGGGCAGGAACCAAGGCAGAGCUUUGUGGCCCUGGGACAUAGGCCCCAAGGGAAGGCAGCGCUACAAGGAAAAUUUCAUGAGGGACAUUGCUAUGCUCCGCUUUGAGCAUCACCAGAGUCCUAGUCCACUAACUGCAUCCCCAGGCCACCAGAGAGUUCUGCACAGCCUCGGCACCAGAAAGCUCAUGGAGCUCAGCCUACUGGGCCAGGUGGGGCCAAGGCAGAGACUCGGGCCCCGUGCAGAGGUAUUUGCACAAAGAGCGCCAGCAAAAUGACAAUUUCAAAUGACCAACAAGUCGUGAACCUCUAAGAGCUGUUUCUGAGCAUACUUGAUACAUCCCGUGGACUCACCCCAAGUAAGUAGAGAGAAUUUGAGGAAGAGGAGGCGUGCUCCAUGCAGGCGGAGCAAUCAGCUAGCAAAAUUUGAGUGAAAACGUGAUCUAAUUGGCCCCACAGGCUGCUGAGGCCUGGGGACAUUUGGUUACAGCCCUGCCAAGGAGGCUCAGUAAACAGGUUCAGACCUACUCAGUUGGGAGGCAAUUAAGUUCCACCGCCAAGGGGGAGCCAAAGGCAGCCAUGGACAGAACAACAGCCUGUUGUAGCACCCAGCCCUCCGUGGGCUGCUAGGACGGUGCUCCAAGCCUGCAGGCUGCUCUGCUUCUGCGCUUAAAUAGGGAUAAUUAAUUAACAGGAGGUAAUUGUAAUAGCUUCUGCCCUAAGGCCACAUUCUGCAUAAGUUUACAAAAUAUAGAAAAGAGUUUCCUGCUUUAGGAUGGAAUGCCCAUAAAAAGGAGCACAGCUUGUCAAGAGAUCUAUGGCAAAGGGUUCCAUUCCAAUUGGGUCUAUGAAGUGAUCUAUUUAAGAGUUAAAUCUAAACAUAUGUAAUUGUCCUCCACAUCACUAGCAAAGAAGGUUAGCUUUGUUUGUUGAUGGGGAAAGACUGCAGCUUGUGCAUUCUUACGUCUGCAAAAGCUUUGCUGGGCUCUUGCACAUAGUGGGUUCUUAGCAUCUGUUGCAUGAGAAUGAAAUUCCGACAAGGAAUGAGUGUUCGUUCUAACUUGGGAGCUCAUCUCCAGUGGUUAAAACCCUGGAGUGUGGGGGCUGGCCCCAUGGCCGAGGGUUAAGUUCGCACGCUCUGCUGCAGGCGGCCCAGUGUUUCGUUGGUUGGAAUCCUGGGCGCGGACAUGGCACUGCUCAUCAAACCACGCUGAGGAGGCGUCCCACAUGCCACAACUAGAAGGACCCACAACGAAUAAUAUACAACUAUGUACCAGGGGGCUUUGGGGAGAAAAAGGAAAAAAAUAAAAUCUUUAAAAAAAAAACAACCCUGGAGUGUGGUGUGAAGGAGGCACAUUCCUGAGACACAGUCAGGUCCUUUCCCAUUUAGGCUCCCAGGAAAAAUAAAACAAUUCUACUUAAAUAGAGCUGAAUUCUAGGUAAAAUAAGAAGUUAAUGAUGGGGCCGGCCUGGUGGCGCAGCGGUUAAGUGCGCAGGUUCUGCUUCUCGGUGGCUUAGGGUUCGCCUGGGUCCGGACAUGGCACCACUUGGCAAGCCAUGCUAUGGUAGGCGUCUCACAUAUAAAGUAGAGAAAGAUGGGCACGGAUGUUAGCUCGGGGCCAUGCUUCCUCAGCAAAAAGAGGAGGACUGGCAGUAGUUAGCUCAGGGCUACUCCUCAACAACAACAACAAAAAGUUAAUGAAACAAUUCUACCCUUUAUGGCGGUCUAGCUGCCGCCACUCCAGAAAAGACUCACAUAUUAGGUUUCAUCCUAUUGACUGGAAACCUCUGGGUGUGUAUGUGUAGAUACGGUCUGUGGGGAGUGUGUACCCAUGUGUUUGUGUGCUGUCUUAACAGGAGGACAGAAAUCAUCACAAUCCAUGACCACAGUGGUGAGCAUUGAGAAAGCCACCGCUAAGCAACUAGAAUAAAAGUUCAUCAAUGGGCAAGAUGGAGAAUUAAAAGCUGACCUAAUCGCCAUCACUGAGUAGCCCAGGAAACUCGGCAUGGUCAUAAAAGAAAUCCCUGCGUCAGUGUGGUGUUGGGGGAGGGCUGGUCGUUGUGACUGAAGAGGACAUAAUGUUGACAGGAACCAUUGUGUACUGCUGUGAGAAAAGACCUUGGGAAUUUCCUAUUCCACACACACUACCUUCCCUGAAUUUAGGUAUGAGGAAAUUGAGACUCAGGAAAAGAAUGAGCAGAAAAGUCACUAAUUUAUGGAGAGGCUAAGUUGGGAAGACAAUUAAAUCUUCCAGCUCCUUGUUAGUAUUCUUCCCCUAUAUCAAUUUGCCUCUUUGAAUUUAUAUCUAUUUCUCCAACUAGAUGAUAAUCUACUGUAGGGUAGGGAUGCCUCAUUACAUUAUCUGUUAUACAAGACCCUUGGCAUAUAUUAUUUCUAAUUCUAGCAACAACCUUGCAAGGUAGCAAUUAUUCUUAUGUUACCAGUGAGAAGACUAAGGGUUAGAUAACUCAAGUUAUGGGCCCAAGAUCAAAUAAACAGUAAAUGACAAAGCCAGGGUUUAGUGCAUGCCUACCGUGUGCUUGAAAUUGUGCUAGUUUUAAUUAAAAUGCAAUUUACUUAAAAAAUAAAUUCCACAUCUUCAACAUUGUUCAUAAUAAAUCUCAAGUGUGUAAUACAUUUGGGGCUAUGGAGAUUUAUGUAGAACAAGCAUUGUGACCGAGAAACUGGGAAAGAAAUUGGACUUAAACUUGGUGAUUAAGGAUGCACAGGAUAUGUAUAAUCUAACGAGACAUAGUGGGCAGACGCAGGUAUUUCCAACAAGGAUAAGGGUGUAAGCAGAAACUGGUAAAAAUGGGUUGUUGGAAAAUAGGGAAAAAUUUGUUUUGCAGAAGCCAUAGUUUUUGUAGGAGAGUCAUGUAUAGUAAGUUAUAACAAUAGAUUGAGGCAAAGUUAUGGAAGCCUUUGAAUGCCAGGUUAAGGUAUUUGAGACUUAUUCUUCAGGUUAUGGGGAAUCAUCGAAUAUGGUUGACCUAUAAAAGUAGAGUUUUAGCCAGUUGCCCAAUAUGUGAGUAGAGGGAAAAGGACUGGGAGAUGAGAGACCACUUAAAGACCACAUAAAGUGGAUUUAAGACUACUGUAAUCACCUACUCUUGAACUGAAAAGCCUGGCAUGGGGGUGGGAUGGAAAUCAUGCUAUUGGUACAAGAACUAUUACUAUUGUUUGUGAAGGGGGAAUUGGAAAGGUGAAAUGUAAAUUUUUUGUAUUUUUUAUUUUGGGGGGAAGAUUGGCUCUGAGCCAAUACCUAUUGCCAAUCUUCCUCUUUUUGCUGAGGAAGAUUGUUCCUGAGCUAAUAUCUGUGCCAGUCUUCCCCUACGUUGCCUGUGGGAUGCCGCCACAGCCUGGCUUGAUGAGUGGUGCAUAGGUCAGCACCCGGACCCGAACCUGUGAGCCUGGGGUGCUGAAGUGAAGUGUGUGAACUUAACCACUAUGCCACAGGGCUGGCCCCUGAAAUGUAAAUUUUUUAAGUUGCUUGUCCAAAAGUAGACAAUCCUGUUUUCCUGAAAACAUGUAUGGAAGUUAUGGAUAUGAAAGCUCAUCAAAAUAUACCCUCGAGAUGAGGGAGGGAGAUUCUGUUCCCAGAGAGUUAAAAGGCUUUACACCCCCAAUCCCAUCCUGUCCUGUACAUGGUCUUCAGUGGUAUGGCUCUAAUACACGUUUUUUAAUUUUGCUCUUUUCUGUCAUAAGUAAAUCCACAGUUCACUGAGCAUCCACGUGAGGCUAAAUGUGUGCUGCCUUCAACCUAAUGGCUUCCAAGUGUAUGAAUCUCUUCUCAUAAGUAUUAUCAACACUUUUAUUGUUUGCUAUUCAAUUACUUGAAAAGAUAAAAUGAACGAAAUUUAUUUAAUUAAAAAAUAUUCAAUUUGUUGCCUGCACUUUGAUAAACAAAGAUGACGCUACUCCCCAAAUGAAGUGUGGGCCACCCAGACAGAACUAUAGACAUCUGAAAUUUAAAAUGUUAAUUCAACAACUAGCAUAUGGAAACUCAAAUGUGAAUCACCACAGGUAGUUUAGUGAUAUUAAACCUACAAUGAGGGGAAAAAGUGUAGAUUGAUUAAAAGUUGGAGUUAUGACAUAUGCAUAAAUCAGUGCACUAAUCAUAUUCAUAAAACUCCUUAAAUCCUUCUUUAAGAAUUUUUUGUUUUCAACCCUGGAAUCAUUGUUGGACUCCUCUCUGGCCUUCUCAAAACUCAGGAUCUCUCUUAACUUUGGGGUUCAGAAAGAUCUGGAAGUAUUGGCCUAGCCAACAUCAAUGGUAGUAAAAUUUAACCACAUAACUGCCAAAUACUAUACAGUUGUCCCUGGUAUCUGCACAGGAUUUGUUCCAGGACCCCUUGAGGAUACCAAAAUUGGAGGAUGCUCAAGUCCCUUAGCCAGCCCUCUGGGUCCGCAGGAUCCGAGGGCCAACUGUACCUUAUUCUGGAAUCCUCAUUUCUACAUUUAAUUGGGUAAUCCAGGAACAAUUAUGUGGCCUGGAUCUGUAUGACUGAUGGCUCAAUCUCAUUUCAGUGAUAAAAGGAUGAAGAUUUCAGUGGGUUUUGGAAGGUCUAGAAAAAAGGUCUUCAGUCUGCAUGACUAGUGUCCUUUUCUUACGAAGGGGUUCUGAACAUUUUUUGUAUAGCAUGGAUCCCUUUGGCAGUCUAAUGAAGCCUAUGCAUCCCUUUUCAGAAAAAAAGUUUUUAAAUUCCUAAAAUAAAAAUACAGUUGUGUACCAUAUAACAAAUUUUGGUCAAUGAUGGACCACAUAUACAACAGUAGUUCCGUAAGAUUAGUACCAUACAACCUAGGUGUGUAGGAGGCUAUACCAUCCAAUUUUGUGUAAGUGCACUCUAUGAUGCUCCCACAAGGACAAAAUCACUUUAUGAUGCCUUUCUCAGAACAUAUCCCCAUUGUUAAGUGGCGCAUGACUGUACGUACAACUAGAAAGAAAGCCAAUUAGACUGAAACUUGGUUAUCAAAAUACUGAAAAACAAAUUUUUGCUAUGUUAACACAUGUACCUCUGUAUUAAUACUUUAAAUAACAAGGCCCAGGAGCAGGUCUAAUGACUGCUAUGAUUUUGACACCAUGAUAAGUGUUGACAACAUUUUGAGAUAUCUGCUACAACUAUAAAGUGAUAUGAAAAAUGUGUGUGAUUUCUCACGGUGAGAGUUACAGAUACUGCUAACAUGACAGUGGUUUGCUGUCUGCAUUUAUCAUGGAAGGAAAUGUUUAAUUUCAGUCUGGGAUUAGUACACAUGAAGAUGCAAAUUUUUUCCCUUUCAAGGCCACAGACCAUCCCCCUCAAUUUUGUUAGUAGCUAGACCUCAGGCUAAGAACGUGGAUAUUAAAGGAUUGUUUCUAAGUAAAACAUAAGCUCUCAGUGCUCAUCAGAGAUCAUAGAAACAUCUACUCAGGCAGCGUGGAAUUGACCCAUUGUCACUCUGGGAAGCCAUCCAUUGAGCUUGCUUACCACCGUAACUAGUACCUAGCAUCAUGCCUGACCCAGAAUAGAUAUUCAGUGCAUAUUUGUUGAUCGACUGAGUGAAGAAAGGAUUGGAGAGACAAUGGAGUGAAGUUGGAUUUGGCUCUCUAAAGGUCCUUUCUUCUCGAACAUUCUAAGACUCUAUGGCUCCCUAACAAAUGCAGAAGGAAAUAACUGAAGCCUGCUCACAGGCCUGUGGCUGCCAAGAAGUGACCGCAGGAGACAGGGCAGGCAGGGGGUGGAACAGCAAUGCAAUGCAGCGGGGGUGGAGUGGGAGGGUGGUCAAAAGCUCAACAAUGAGCUACAGCUCUGUCCCAGAGAUAAAGACCCAGAUCAGAAAAUGGGGCUGCUGCACCCAGUUACCACAGAGGGUAACAGAAGGGCAGAGGAACAGCUGAGGCUGCCCAUCUGUUUUUUUCUGCUGCGUGUCUGUCAGCAUCGGCAACGGACAGGAAAUUCAUUCAUCAAGAUCCUGGCUCAUAAUUCUCUUGAGGAGGAGAUUAUUUGUAAGCUCAAAGUCUUUUUGUGUCUCUGACAAGUGUCACUAGCUGAAAGUGUUGACUGAGGGUGCCGCCCACCCCUACCACCUGGAAAGGAAAGAAGAAAGGCUGAAUUCACACAGCCCUGUGAAGUUCCUGGUAGGGCUAGGUGUUAGAAACUAAGAAGACCAUAAUAUAGAACAAUUGUUAGGGUUAAUAAUAGUCAUAUAAACUAGAUACAGAUGAAUGCAUUUAUUUCAAUUGAGAUGUUUACCCAAGUGAAGACUUUUAUAUCAGGACCUCAUAUUGUACAAAAGAGUAAUAAUAAAAAUGGCUGUCAUUUUUUCAACAUGCCUACCAGGCAUCAGGCAUCUGAUGUAAUUUUAUCUCAUUUAAUCCUCACAACAG